Long non-coding RNA from Gallus gallus (chicken), 2196 nucleotides. Lineage: Eukaryota; Metazoa; Chordata; Aves; Galliformes; Phasianidae. The record is from Ensembl.
UGGCUGCAUGGAUAUGUGGAAAUACUGCGUACUGGGGGCUUGGUUCGGGGACCAAAGGGAAAUCUCCAAUGAGAACUGAUGUACAGCUGCCACACAGGUUGUGGCCAUGCGGCAGGAGAGAGGCUGGAAAGUAGCAGUGAAUGGGAAGUGAUCUCUGCGUAUUUGCAUCAGGAGAUGUUUACAUGCCCACUCCGGUGGGAGCCAGGUUUCAUGCUGCAUCAGUAGCCUGGCUGCUUAUCAUCAGUUGUGUUUUCCCAAAUGUUGUCUUCCAGCUGAAGCAAUAUUUAGAGCCGGUUUGCAAGAGAAUGAGCUGCCCGUUCUUGCCUCUGUACCUCCAAGAAAUCACUGGGAGCUGAGCAGAUCUGCCAGAUUCUGUAAGAGGAGGAGCUGACUUUUUGUGAGAACAUGCAAAGUAGAGUCAGGCUCGCUACUGUAGGAAGAAAACCACUUGCUGUGCUUUUUUUGCAGGUGCUGUGAGGUUUGCAUGGCUCUUGCUCUUCUAAAGCCUCUGCAUUUCAGCAGCUCAUGAAAAUCUUCCAGGUGGUAUCUUUGAAUAGCCAUUGGGCUGCUGGCAUGGAAAUAAGUUCCCCUGUUUUGCCUACCAAAUGCCCCGUUUCAACAGUCAUUCAGCAGUUUGGGGAGGUGUAAUGCCCUCUCACAGUGGCUUAGAUCUGUGGCAUUCACACUCCCUGUAAAAAGGCUCUUCUUUCCCCUCCAAGUCCACCCUUGAGGACAGUGGCAAGGGACACCGGCCAGAGGGCGCAGAUUUCGGCAUGCAGAGUCACAGGCAUUCCACUAACUUUGGUUGGGCAGGGAAAGGCCAAGCAUGCAGGACACAGCUGUGGCUCAGAUCGUGCAGGAUGAGCACCUAUGUUUCACGGAUGCCCUGCUGGGACCCAUCUGCUCUGCUGUGGGGCCCACAGGACCUGCAAGACGCUGAGGCCUGUGUUGUGUGAAGAUGGGUUUUGCUUGCUGGAGCUCUGGUUCAUCCCUCUUUGCAGCUAGUGGUGAAUUCUGACACCUGAUAGACAAUGAUAACAAUGGAUGCAACAAUUUGGAGAUAAUCAUUUUCUGCUUACCUAGGAAGAAUAAUUAUUUAAUUACUUGCUGUUACGUGAACAAAGUGUCCUUGCAAAUAUCUUGCUUUAUUUCAUUAAGUUAUAUGGAAAGAAACAUUUGCUUUCUUUUUUCUUCAUUGCAGACGGAACAACGUUACUCUGGACAUCAUCUUUUUCUAAACAGUGCCUCAGUGGGAUGGAGAGGGGUUGGGUCAUUUUUAGACAAACUGUUAGGAGAUUAAUUCCCCAGCACAUGUAGGAGAGAAUUCUUGCUUGUGUUCUUUGUGGCACUGUUCUUGGUGCUCCACCCAAACAUGGCCAUUAAGUCUUUAGUUGUCCUAUGAUUUAGUGAAUCAUAGGACAGUCGAGUUGUCCUAUGAUUUAGUGAACAGUUUAAUCAGCCUAUCCCUGACAUGUUCUAUGUUACAGUCCUUGCAGAGGGCUGAGCAUCAGUUUCCUCAUGGUCACAAGACAGUGGGAGAGCCAAGGAGGGAAAUACCAGGCUUAGGAGCAAGUAGAUGGGAGGGGUAGAGCAAGAGUGAGAGCACGUGAAGCAGGGGAAGGAGGAGGAGGAGGAGAAAGGCAGUGGAAAGGAAGGGUUAGGCCUGGAGCUGGAAGAAGAUGGGAGCUUUUGCUGGAGGACUGGCUGGGCUGUCUCCUUCAUGGAGAAGAUCUUGAAGAGAUGGACAAAAAAAAAAAAUAAUAAUGCCCAUUAGAGUGUUCCCCCCUCCAAGUCUUGGCCUGGAGUCAAAGACUUUCUGUAACAAGGAAGAUCACUGACUAAACAGUAUUACUGAACAUUAUUAAUCUCGCUACACGAGGGAGUGCAAACUGCUGGGCCUACCUCUGCAAACCCCUGCUACGCUCUGAACAGCACAUCUGCUGCCCCUGCAGGGAGGACCGUGCUAGACUUGGCAAAGAAAACUGUGCUUAAAAUUGCACCUGUGUGUGUGCUGAAGCACAUGCAUGUUCCUGUGUAAAGCACCAGAGAAUGCAAGGUACACCUGGCUACGAAGAGAGCUGUGAGUGCCUUCUGCCAUCAGUGAGCUCAGACGUGCAAGGCGCUGAGGAUGGGUUGGUAGCAGCCAGCACGACAGGCUGCUGCUCCAACUCCACGAGUGACAGCUGUAAAGAGCCU